AUAAACAGAUCCAAAACCACCUUGUCCAAUUUUGUUAGCUUGAGAAAAAUUAUCAGUGGCAGCAAAUAUGGUGCUAAGAUUGAAAAAUGCUAAGUCUGGAUGACUCCUGCUUGCCUGGAGCUCAUUUGCUUCCAAAGUAUCUUUGUCAUAGUGUGAACCACUGAUAGAAUCAAACAGUCUUUUCUUGGAUUUAUUCUUCACUCUUUUCUUUCUCUUCCUCAGCCACAAAUAGGCAAAUAUGAUAAUGGCAAACCACGCUGAUGAAACUGAAACUACCAGAAAGGCCAGCAUACCCUUCAUUUCAAGAAAACCAUUUGAUCUCGCAAUCUCAGCUAAUUCAAUUGCAUCAACUCGAACAUACACAUCGUAGCCGCUAUGAUCCAUAAGAGCCACUAUGUCCAUCAAGUCCCCAUACCAAGCCAAGCAGCCAACCUCUUUCCCUGGAAUUUUUAUGCUCGCAUAGGCAGAGCAUGAACAAUUCUUGUAGCAUUCUCGUUCACAGUCCAACCUAGUCAUCCUUGUAUUCACCCAAACUGCCGUUGAAGUAUCAGGAAUCUUAACCUGUGGCACUUUCACGAACCCUUCCCCUUGCCUACACACUGAUGAAGAUUUCAGCCGCUUCCUAACACAGCCACCUGAUCCAUCUCUCAUCAGAACCCAGUUUCUUGAGGACUUGGGUUCGUAACCAGGUAGACAAGAACAUUCAAAUGUAUUGACAUGGUUAGGAUCACACAUGCUAUUAGCACCACAGCGUCCAUAGGAAUCGCAACGAUACUUGGAUGCUGCCCAGAACUCCUUCCAUUGACCGUCACUUUCAUGCCAUGAAACCCACAUGAGCAUUCCUGAUUCAUCCAGCACCAUUCGAAACAGAACAGAACUAUCAUCAAGAGAGUAGGAAAAGGAUAUCUCUUCUUCAUUGUUAACGAAGCUGAAGUUGUAUAUAAUUGGUAUUGGUCUCCAUGGCCAUGGUGUGCCUCGCCAGUAAGGUUUGGAGCCCUCGUACAGAAAAAAUUGUGGUGAGCCAAUUGGGUUGAGCUUCAGUAAGUAGACACCAAUUCCAGGAUCAUCUGUUGAUCUCCACGAUGUCAGGAACCAGUUCAGACCUGUUUUACGGUCAAGCCCAAGUUUCAUUCCUGGUAGAAAAGUAUUAGUAGGAUAAUCAAAGCUCUGCCAUACAAUUCUUCCACUUAUACCUUGGACCAGAACCAAAUUUCCCGAAUCCAAGAGGUGAGCUACACAAGCAUCUGCUACAUCCAUUGAAACAUUUGUAGACCAUACUGGAACUUCUUCAUCUCUAUUACCGUAUAGAACAAGAUUUCCAUAUUGGUUGAUGGAAAGAACACCUGCAGAACCAAUGAUUGGAUGGUUCCUGUUGGCCACCCACACAACAGUUUGCAAUGGUAGCGUAAAAAACCAAAUUCCAAGAUAUCUAUAGCUGGAAUUGCCAGGGCUAAAAAAU
RNAcentral lists this unclassified non-coding RNA (1459 nucleotides) under Hevea brasiliensis (rubber tree). Lineage: Eukaryota; Viridiplantae; Streptophyta; Magnoliopsida; Malpighiales; Euphorbiaceae. The record is from RNAcentral.